UCCUGGUUAACCCAGGCAGUCUCGCUAGAGUGCCCACCAUUACGUGCUGGCAACUAACGACAAGGGUUGCGCUCGUUGCGGGACUUAACCCAACACCUCACGGCACGAGCUGACGACAGCCAUGCAGCACCUGUGCAACUGUCUCUUGCGAGAACACUUCAUCUCUGAAGCUGUCAGUUGCAUGUCAAACCCAGGUAAGGUUCUUCGCGUUGCAUCGAAUUAAACCACAUGCUCCACUGCUUGUGCGGGUCCCCGUCAAUUCUUUUGAGUUUUACCCUUGCGAGCGUACUUCCCAGGCGGUAUACUUAUCGCGUUAGCUUCGGCACAGUCGGGGUUGAGUCCGACUACGCCAAGUAUACAUAGUUUAAGGCAAGGACUAC
This 380-nucleotide unclassified non-coding RNA is filed under the name uncultured Parachlamydiaceae bacterium. Its description in RNAcentral is "contains 16S-23S intergenic spacer region". The record is from RNAcentral. Lineage: Bacteria; Pseudomonadati; Chlamydiota; Chlamydiia; Parachlamydiales; Parachlamydiaceae.